CCUANGGGGGGCUGCAGUAACGAAUCUUCCACAAUGCCCGCAAGGGUGAUGGAGCGACGCCGCGUGGGGGAUGAAGUCCUUCGGGAUGUAAACCACUGUCAGGGGUUAGAAAGUUCUGAUCAACCCCAGAGGAAGGCACGGCUAACUCUGUGCCAGCAGCCGCGGUAAGACAGAGGUGCCAAGCGUUAGGCGGAAUCACUGGGCUUAAAGCGUGUGUAGGCGGACCGUUAAGUGCCUUGUGAAAUCCCACGGCUCAACCGUGGAACGGCUGGGCAGACUGGCGGUCUUGAGGCAUCUAGGGGCGACCGGAACAAACGGUGGAGCGGUGAAAUGCGUAGAUAUCGUUUGGAACGCCAACGGUGAAAACAGGUCGCUGGGGAUGUACUGACGCUGAGACACGAAAGCGUGGGGAGCAAACAGGAUUAGAUACCCCGNUANUC
This 440-nucleotide ribosomal RNA is filed under the name uncultured bacterium. Its description in RNAcentral is "bacterial SSU rRNA". It matches the Rfam family "Bacterial small subunit ribosomal RNA", at positions 338 to 795 of the family's 1533-position model. The record is from RNAcentral.